ACAACUAGGUUUUGGUAUUGUAGAUGUCGAGUUGCAAUUUCUAAUCAAUUGGAAUUGCGGAACUUGAUUUUGGUGGAUUCAUACAUUUAAUUUUUUUUGUUUGUUUGAGUCCUAUUCUUGAUGUGCGGAAAAGGAAGGCGGUUCGAUUGAGCAAAGAUGUCGACUCCAAACGUCGCCAAAUUAACAAUGGAUGUGGGAUUGGAUAAUGAAACAUGAGCCGGUGGUUUCAAGAAAGAAAGUUGCUCGCGUCCUAUUUUCCGUCAACCUCUUCGCCGCGGCUACCUGUCCCCUCUUUUAGGCUGUCGUUCAUAGAGCUAAGAACUCAAAAUAUUCAGCUGAUGAGGAUAUGGAGGAGACAGAUGUUAAAGAUCCAAAUUUAAAGCAAUCUCUGG
Long non-coding RNA from Spinacia oleracea (spinach), 392 nucleotides. RefSeq lists it as uncharacterized. NCBI's taxonomy places the organism in Eukaryota, Viridiplantae, Streptophyta, Magnoliopsida, Caryophyllales, Amaranthaceae. The record is from RefSeq and is a predicted model, not a curated record. The transcript has 3 exons.